UAGGGAAUCUUCCACAAUGGACGCAAGUCUGAUGGAGCAACGCCGCGUGAGUGAAGAAGGUUUUCGGACCGUAAAGCUCUGUUGUUGGUGAAGAAGGAUAGAGGUAGUAACUGGCCUUUAUUUGACGGUAAUCAACCAGAAAGUCACGGCUAACUACGUGCCAGCAGCCGCGGUAAUACGUAGGUGGCAAGCGUUGUCCGGAUUUAUUGGGCGUAAAGCGAGCGCAGGCGGAAGAAUAAGUCUGAUGUGAAAGCCCUCGGCUUAACCGAGGAAUUGCAUCGGAAACUGUUUUUCUUGAGUGCAGAAGAGGAGAGUAGAACUCCAUGUGUAGCGGUGGAAUGCGUAGAUAUAUGGAAGAAUACCAGUGGCGAAGGCGGCUCUCUGGUCUGCAACUGACGCUGAGGCUCGAAAGCAUGGGUAGCGAACAGGAUUAGAUACCCUGGUAGUCCAUGCC
RNAcentral lists this ribosomal RNA (454 nucleotides) under uncultured bacterium. RNAcentral's name for it is "partial 16S ribosomal RNA". It matches the Rfam family "Bacterial small subunit ribosomal RNA", at positions 355 to 801 of the family's 1533-position model. The record is from RNAcentral.